This 393-nucleotide ribosomal RNA is filed under the name Triticum aestivum (bread wheat). RNAcentral's name for it is "partial small subunit ribosomal RNA". Lineage: Eukaryota; Viridiplantae; Streptophyta; Magnoliopsida; Poales; Poaceae. The record is from RNAcentral.
AUGCGAAAAAUCUAUUGCAUAUCAAUUAACACACAUGAACCAAAUUCAGUGAAUACAUGUGAACCUUCUUCGUUUGUCUUAACUACACAUAUCAUUGAUAUAACUUGCUAUUAUAUGGUACAACAAAUAGAGAAUAUACCUUUUAUCCAACUAGAGGCGGGAAGCAUACCUGUGAAGAACAGUGUCGAGGAAGUAGGAAUGAUGCAAAGUUGUAGCACGUUACAUUGGUGGAAGUUUUUUUUCGAAUCACAUAGGUGGAACUUGACAGCAGUAGCAACUAGGGAGCCCAUGACUCGCCUCCACCUGUGGACUUUCUACGAAUGUAAAGAGACCAAUCACAUGCUAAUGCAGAUUAAUAUUUCCUCACACUACUUUCAUGUAUAUACAUGUUAA